This 2295-nucleotide ribosomal RNA is filed under the name Brassica rapa (field mustard). RNAcentral's name for it is "eukaryotic LSU rRNA". It matches the Rfam family "Eukaryotic large subunit ribosomal RNA", at positions 1001 to 3401 of the family's 3401-position model. The record is from RNAcentral. Lineage: Eukaryota; Viridiplantae; Streptophyta; Magnoliopsida; Brassicales; Brassicaceae.
CUAUCGGGUAAAGUCAUCGAUUAGAGGCAUCGGGAUGCAAUUUCCUAUUCCAUUCUCAAACUUUUAAAUAGGUAGGACGGGGUGGCUGCUUUGUUGAGCCAUCCCACGGAAUCGAGCUCCAAGUGGGCCAUUUUGGUAAGCAAGAACUGGCCAUGCGGGAUGAACUGAAAGCCGGUUACGGUGCCCAACUGCUCGCUAACCUAGAACCCAACAAAGGGUGUUUGUCGAUUAAGACAGCAGGACGGUGGUCAUGGAAGUCUAAAUCGCUUAAGGAGUGUGUGUAACAACUCACUCCAGUCGAAUCAACUAGCCCCGAAAUGGAUGUAUUUUGAAGCUGCCGACCUAUACCUCGGGCCGGGCCGGCAAAGAGCCAGGCCCCCGAUGAGAAGGAGGGCUGGCUGUCGCGCAAAACCUAGGGCGGAGUCCGGUGGAGCAGCCGUCGGUGCAGAUCUUUGGUGGUAGUAGCAAUAUUCAAAUGAGAACCUUGAAUAAGAGGGGAAAGGUUCUAUGUGAACGCACUUGCACAUGGGUUAGUCGAUCCUAAGAGUCGAGGGAAACUCGUCCGAGAUGGCGCGCCAACUUCGGGAAGGGGAUUAUUAAAAUUCCAGAACCGACGUGGUGGUUGACGGCUACUUUAGGGAAGUCCGUAGACGGCAUGGAAUUCGAAAGAGUUAUCUUUCUUGUUUAACAGCCUGCUCCACCAUGGAAAGGGUCUCAGCCGAGGUAUCCAGCUGGCUGGAAGAGCACCACGACGCUGCUGGUUGUCUUGUGUAUUCUCGCUGCCUUUGAAAAAACUGAGGAUCGAGUACGCCACGCCACCGGUCGACUCAUAACCGCAUCAGGUCUCUAAGGUGAACAGCCUCUGGUCGGAUUGAACAAUGUAGGCAAGAGUUUCGGUAAAAUGGAUCCAGAAUUCGGGAAAGAAUUGGCUCAGGGGGUGGGGUCCCAGUUCAACACGCCGACCGUUGGUGGGCUGUUUGAGCUGCUAACGGCGAGGAGAUGACCGCCACGUUGUCGGCCGAGGGAUGGACUGGGAACGGCUCUUUCGAGAUCUUUCCCAAAGGCCGAACAGCCAACCCAGAACUGGUACGACAAGGGUAAUCCGGAUUGUUUAAUAAAAACAAAGCAUUGUGAUGGUUCCCCGCGAUGCUAACGCAACCGAUUUCUGCCCAAAGGUUCGAAUAAAAGCCGAACGGCGGAGUAACUAUGAAUCUCUUUAAGGUAGCUAAAAAUGGUUCGGCCAUUAAUUAGUGACGCAUUAUGAAUGGACUAACAAUUCAUAAUCGGUCCUUUGUCUACUAUCCAACAAAACCACAGCCAAGGAAACUGGGCUUGGCAGAAUCAGCGGGAAAGAAGACCUGUUGAGCUCGACUCUAGUCCCGACUUUUGUGAAAUGACUUGAGAAGUGUAGAAUAAGUGGGAGUCUCCGAUGGCGAAUGAAAUACCACUACUUUUAACUAUUUUACUUAAUCUCGCGGAAUCGAGGUGGGAUAACAACCCUUUUUUAGACCCCAAGACUCGCUUUGGCGGUCAAUCCGGGCGGAGGACAUUGUCAGGCGGGGAGUUUGGCUGGGGCGGUACAUCUGUUAAAAGAUAACGCAGGUGUCCUAAGAUGAGCUUCAACGAGAACAGAAAUCUCGUGGAACAAAAGGUAAAAGCUCGCUUGAUUCUCAUUUUCAGUACUUAAUAAUAACCGUGGAAAUCAUGGCCUAUCGAUCCUUUUAGACCUUUGCAGCCAAGCCGCUCAUAGCGACGUUGCUUUUGAUCCUUCAAUAUCGCUCUUCCUAUCAUUGUGAAGCAGAAUACACCAAGCGUUGGAUUGUUCACCCACCAAUAGGAAACGUGAGCUGGGUUUAGACCGCCGGAGACACGUUAGUUUCGCCCUACUGAUGCCCGGGCCGCAAUAGUAAUUCAACCUAGUACAAGAGGAACCGCUGAUUCGCACAAUUGGUCAUCGACUUGGUUUAAAAGCCGCUGGCGCGAUGUUAUCAGCGCUGGAUUAUGACUGAACGCUUCACGCCAGAAUCUCGGGCUAGAAGUAACGAUGCGCCCGGCCACGGAUCAUUUAACCCUCAGUAGGGAGCUUGCCCCAAAGGCACGGUCGUCGUUGGUUCGUUCGGGCGGAAGCGCCGCUCGGACCGCCUUUUGAAUUAUAAUUACCACCGAAGCCGCGGGUAGAAUCCAUUGCAGACGACUUAAAUACGCCGACGGGUAUUGUAAUAGGCAGAGUCGCCUUGCUGCCACAAUCCAAUGGAGAUUCCAGCCUUUGGCAAUCAAGAUUCUGACCUCCUUCCU